AACGAACGCUGGCGGCAUGCCUAACACAUGCAAGUCGAACGAGACCUUCGGGUCUAGUGGCGCACGGGUGCGUAACGCGUGGGAACCUGCCCUUAGGUUCGGAAUAACUCCCCGAAAGGGGUGCUAAUACCGGAUAAUGUCUUCGGACCAAAGAUUUAUCGCCUUUGGAUGGGCCCGCGUUGGAUUAGCUAGUUGGUAGGGUAAAAGCCUACCAAGGCGACGAUCCAUAGCUGGUCUGAGAGGAUGAUCAGCCACACUGGGACUGAGACACGGCCCAGACUCCUACGGGAGGCGGCAGAGGGGAAUAUUGGACAAUGGGCGAAAGCCUGAUCCAGCAAGGCCGCGUGAGUGAUGAAGGCCUUAGGGUUGUAAAGCUCUUUUACCCGGGAUGAUAAUGACAGUACCGGGAGAAUAAGCUCCGGCUAACUCCGUG
RNAcentral lists this ribosomal RNA (433 nucleotides) under uncultured bacterium. RNAcentral's name for it is "partial 16S ribosomal RNA". It matches the Rfam family "Bacterial small subunit ribosomal RNA", at positions 29 to 507 of the family's 1533-position model. The record is from RNAcentral.